GUAGGGUGCGAGCGUUAAUCGGAAUUACUGGGCGUAAAGCGUGCGCAGGCGGCGCGUUAAGACAGGUGUGAAAGCCCCGAGCUUAACUUGGGAAUUGCGCUUGUGACUGGCGUGCUGGAGUGUGGCAGAGGGAGGUGGAAUUCCACGUGUAGCAGUGAAAUGCGUAGAGAUGUGGAGGAACACCGAUGGCGAAGGCAGCCUCCUGGGCCAGCACUGACGCUCAUGCACGAAAGCGUGGGGAGCAAACAGGAUUAGAUACCCUGGUAGUCCACGCCCUAAACGAUGUCAACUGGUUGUUGGUGGGGUUAAACCCAUUAGUAACGAAGCUAACGCGUGAAGUUGACCGCCUGGGGAGUACGGCCGCAAGGUUA
This 371-nucleotide ribosomal RNA is filed under the name uncultured bacterium. Its description in RNAcentral is "bacterial SSU rRNA". It matches the Rfam family "Bacterial small subunit ribosomal RNA", at positions 527 to 896 of the family's 1533-position model. The record is from RNAcentral.